UCCGUAAUGGUGUAAUGGUUAGCAUUUCUGCCUCUCAAUAAAGAGCUAUACUAGCUUCUACAAGGUCGCAGGAGAUCAGGGUUCAAUUCCCUGUUACGGAA
Molecule: transfer RNA, 101 nt
Filed under: Lachnellula cervina
Lineage: Eukaryota; Fungi; Ascomycota; Leotiomycetes; Helotiales; Lachnaceae
Rfam family: tRNA
About the family: Transfer RNA (tRNA) molecules are approximately 80 nucleotides in length.
Source: Rfam by way of RNAcentral